GGAUGAAUAUUGGUCAAUGGGCGAGAGCCUGAACCAGCCAUGCCGCGUGCAGGAAGACGGUCCUAUGGAUUGUAAACUGCUUUUAUUUGGGAAUAAACUCCGGUACGUGUACCGGCCUGAAGGUACCAAAUGAAUAAGCACCGGCUAACUCCGUGCCAGCAGCCGCGGUAAUACGGAGGGUGCAAGCGUUAUCCGGAAUCAUUGGGUUUAAAGGGUCCGCAGGCGGUCUUAUAAGUCAGUGGUGAAAGCC
RNAcentral lists this ribosomal RNA (250 nucleotides) under uncultured bacterium. RNAcentral's name for it is "partial 16S ribosomal RNA". It matches the Rfam family "Bacterial small subunit ribosomal RNA", at positions 355 to 602 of the family's 1533-position model. The record is from RNAcentral.